GUGGAGCGCUUAGAAGUGAGAAUGCCGGUGUGAGUAGCGAAAGACGGGUGAGAAUCCCGUCCACCGAUUGACUAAGGUUUCCAGAGGAAGGCUCGUCCGCUCUGGGUUAGUCGGGUCCUAAGCUGAGGCCGACAGGCGUAGGCGAUGGAUAACAGGUUGAUAUUCCUGUACCACCUAUAAUCGUUUUAAUCGAUGGGGGGACGCAGUAGGAUAGGCGAAGCGUGCGAUUGGAUUGCACGUCUAAGCAGUAAGGCUGAGUAUUAGGCAAAUCCGGUACUCGUUAAGGCUGAGC
RNAcentral lists this ribosomal RNA (292 nucleotides) under Staphylococcus aureus. Its description in RNAcentral is "partial 23S ribosomal RNA". It matches the Rfam family "Bacterial large subunit ribosomal RNA", at positions 1273 to 1561 of the family's 2925-position model. The record is from RNAcentral. Lineage: Bacteria; Bacillati; Bacillota; Bacilli; Caryophanales; Staphylococcaceae.